RNAcentral lists this ribosomal RNA (665 nucleotides) under uncultured bacterium. RNAcentral describes it as "bacterial SSU rRNA". It matches the Rfam family "Bacterial small subunit ribosomal RNA", at positions 68 to 724 of the family's 1533-position model. The record is from RNAcentral.
UAGCACAGGGGAGCUUGCUCCCUGGGUGACGAGCGGCGGACGGGUGAGUAAUGUCUGGGAAACUGCCUGAUGGAGGGGGAUAACUACUGGAAACGGUAGCUAAUACCGCAUAACGUCGCAAGACCAAAGAGGGGGACCUUCGGGCCUCUUGCCAUCAGAUGUGCCCAGAUGGGAUUAGCUAGUAGGUGGGGUAAUGGCUCACCUAGGCGACGAUCCCUAGCUGGUCUGAGAGGAUGACCAGCCACACUGGAACUGAGACACGGUCCAGACUCCUACGGGAGGCAGCAGUGGGGAAUAUUGCACAAUGGGCGCAAGCCUGAUGCAGCCAUGCCGCGUGUGUGAAGAAGGCCUUCGGGUUGUAAAGCACUUUCAGCGAGGAGGAAGGUGGUGAACUUAAUACGUUCAUCAAUUGACGUUACUCGCAGAAGAAGCACCGGCUAACUCCGUGCCAGCAGCCGCGGUAAUACGGAGGGUGCAAGCGUUAAUCGGAAUUACUGGGCGUAAAGCGCACGCAGGCGGUUUGUUAAGUCAGAUGUGAAGUCCCCGGGCUCAACCUGGGAACUGCAUUUGAAACUGGCAAGCUAGAGUCUCGUAGAGGGGGGUAGAAUUCCAGGUGUAGCGGUGAAAUGCGUAGAGAUCUGGAGGAAUACCGGUGGCGAAGGCGG